RNAcentral lists this ribosomal RNA (373 nucleotides) under uncultured bacterium. RNAcentral's name for it is "bacterial SSU rRNA". It matches the Rfam family "Bacterial small subunit ribosomal RNA", at positions 527 to 898 of the family's 1533-position model. The record is from RNAcentral.
GUAGGGGGCAAGCGUUGUCCGGAUUUAUUGGGCGUAAAGCGCGUGUAGGCGGCCAGGCAGGUCCGUUGUGAAAACUGGAGGCUCAACCUCCAGACGUCGAUGGAAACCGCUUGGCUAGAGUCCGGAAGAGGAGAGUGGAAUUCCUGGUGUAGCGGUGAAAUGCGCAGAUAUCAGGAAGAACACCGAUGGCGAAGGCAGCUCUCUGGGACGGUACUGACGCUGAGACGCGAAAGCGUGGGGAGCGAACAGGAUUAGAUACCCUGGUAGUCCACGCCGUAAACGAUGGGUGCUAGGUGUGGGAGGUGUCGACUCCUCCCGUGCCGCAGCUAACGCAUUAAGCACCCCGCCUGGGGAGUACGGCCGCAAGGCUAAA